GCGAUGAGGGUGUAGCGGUAGCACGUCCACCUAAACAUCUUUCUUCACAGAUAGCCCUGGUUUGAUUCCAGGUUGUCGCC
Non-coding RNA from Mycena floridula, 80 nucleotides. The record is from the annotation of a GenBank genome assembly. Lineage: Eukaryota; Fungi; Basidiomycota; Agaricomycetes; Agaricales; Mycenaceae.